Molecule: long non-coding RNA, 961 nt
Organism: Gadus chalcogrammus (walleye pollock)
Lineage: Eukaryota; Metazoa; Chordata; Actinopteri; Gadiformes; Gadidae
Exons: 5
Source: RefSeq, a predicted model, not a curated record
AAGUUUCAACGUUGCCGCGACGUGCGGGUGAAAGACGCGAUCACGUUGCCGCAAUGUAUCUUGGCGACGUUGCUCGUCCGUAACUGCCACGUCCUGGCGACGUCGUGGCAACCAAAAUACAUACUGGCGACAUUUAUGCAACCUUCUUCAAAAAGGUUGCCAUAACGUUGCCAUAACGUUGCAAGGACGUUCUUGGCGACGUUGCUCGUCCGUAACUGCCACGUCCUGGCGACGUCGUGGCAACCAAAAUACAUACUGGCGACAUUUAUGCAACCUUCUUCAAAAAGGUUGCCAUAACGUUGCAAGGACGUUAGGGCGGAUCUGCAUGGUGCAGUCCUCAUUUGCCCUUUAUAGAACCCACAAAAUCUAGUCUGAAAUCUACAAGCCACAUAAAUAUUUUACCUACAUUUUGGCUGGGGGCUGUUGCUAAUGUGGACCCCAAGCCUAUUCAAAAGACAAGACAGUACACUAACAAAUAUCAAUUUAUUAUAUUUUUAUUUCAAAUAAUUUUGAAUUCAAUUUUGGGGAUGUUCUUCCGCCUGCCGUUCCAUCCGACCCUGUGAAGAACAAAUAAAAGAGAACACGUCCACGGCGGAAGUUUGUGUUUGAAAGUUCAGAAGCAACCAAGCUUACGUUGUGCUAAUAAACCAGUCCAGUGCUCAACCCAACCUGUCUCCGUGGGUUCAAUUAAGAAGCAGAAGAGCUGCAGUGUACCCAAGGUCACAUCUGCUCUAUAAGGUGUCCGGCCGCCAUCCCCUAUUCACGUGGUUUUGUGUAUUGGAGAACCUGCUCAGCAAGCUGCAGUCUGCAACUUCUGCGGGAGGCAUGUUUAAUUCAAAUCCAGUACUGUUGCAUUUCAGCAAAAGCACAAGGGUGAAAGUCUUUGGUCCCCUUCAACUCCUGAGCAACAACAGCAGUGGCAUCUUCCCCUUCUUUCCCCUAAGGCUGUAGCUGCUCCAAA